GGCCGGCUCCCAGCCCUGCCCCCUGCCGGCACAGCCCCCGCCGGGCCGGGCAGCGCCGCCGGGACCCCCCCGCCGCCGGGGCUCUGCCGCUGUCCCCCCGCCACCGGGGACACGGUCCCGCCGCGCUCGAGUUCUGCGAGUCCCGGCGGGGAGGGAGGAAGGCAGGAGACAGCCCCGCCGCCCGCCCCAGCAGCGCCGGGGCCGCCGCGCGGGGCCUGGCGGGGCCGGUGCCCGCGGGUGCCCGGCCACAGAAGGCACCGCGUGCGGGGACACCGAGCGCGGCCUGCCGGGGCUCCCGGGGGCUGGAACCACGGGCCGGCUGCAUGGCCGGGAAGAAGAGACACCUCUGUCUUAAAUCGCCGGUGGGUGCGGAUGGCCAGGCGGGAGGGCUCCUUUAUGAGCACGCUGUAAACGAGGGAGCCUCCGUCUUUGCACCUACCCCAAGGCACCAGCCUCCUGCAAAGGGCGCUCCACUGAAACUCAAGGUACCUUCUUUUUUACCCAUUUUUAAACUGUCGCUGUUACAGCGCUGCAGACUGAAGUCUCGGUGUUGGCGCUGCACACAGAAAGGUGCAUUUCACAUGCAGGGAUGGUUAGGGAAACUAACCAAAACUGUCUCCAGUUCAUGAAGUUACACAAAACCCACAACACAAGGCUAGAAAGCACAGGAGCACAGAAAAACUCCUUUGACAAAACAGUACUAUCAUAUACAAAAGCCGUUCAAAAGAACUCUUUCAUCUGAAUAAAUUCUAAUAUGUACUAAAAAGCAUCUCCCUCCAGACAAAUAGGAACCCAGCAGAAGGGUGAAUAUCUAACUGAAUUACCUUGUGCUCCGGCAGGGGUUCCUACUCACACACCACCUUUCAAAGCCUUCUCUGCUUUUGUUUCCCUUAAUACCUGGAAGAUGUGACCAGGUGUCUCUGACCAGCUCAUGAGAUGGAUAUUUUUCCAGAGACUGCACUCUAGGAUGUAACAAGCUUCUGGUCAGCACUUCAGUGGAACGAAAGAGUGGGGAUAUACACUUAGAUGUUAACGUCUAGAGCAGAAUACUGAGGCACAUAGACCAGGCAUAACAAAAGAAAUGCUGUUUAGGUGUGAGAAUCUAUCAAGCAUGUGUGGCAAAACUAAUAUUUUUGAGAGCAUCAGGAGUUUUUCAUGCCCUCAAUAAAUACUCCACAGUUUCACAGUUUUACUCUUGAAUAGAAAAGGAAAAAAUAAAACCCAGUUAAAAUGCUAAAUGUUUCAUGAAACAGUAGCUCUUAUUUUCCAGUCAACUCUACUUCAUAUGCUGAAAAACAGCUCUUAGCUAGAAACAAAGCCAGUAGCAUACAGUUCAGGACUGUUAGAAGGAUGGAAGAUAUUACUAACAUCCCUGGGAUUCAUGCUAAACUCAGUUUUUGUUGUCUGCUGUGACUUAUGCUGAAAAAUCAUCACUCUGUCUUAAUUUAUAAGCUAUUUUAGACAGGACCUUGCUCAUGCACCAAGUCACAGCAAAAAGCUUAAUGGAACUGCCCUUCUCCAUGUCCCCAGCCACCCAGGAUCAUUGCUCCAUCACACUCCUCAGCAAUCCCUGCUCCACAGCCAUCGUGAAAGCUACAGUGCCAUGUCAGGGCACAUAUCAAACUGAGACUAGAGCAGUUACCUCACCCUUCUCCCAGAGCUGUCCUUCAGUCCUCUGCUACACCUGAGCACCAGAGAGCGAGCCUGCAGCCCUGCUGGAACAAGGCCAGAAGUAGUGUGCACAGUGAAGCCCUAAAACAGAACUGGUGGUUCUCUGGUACUUCAGUAAUAGCAUAAAAAAAUAAUAGUCCUCUUUCUGCAAAUGCUUCAGCAGCAUGUUUGAGAUGAGAACAAUUCUGGAUCUGGCUGAUCAAGGACAGUACAGUGAGAUCCAAAGUCAAGGUGCCCUCCUUGCUUAGCAGCCAACAUGGAGCUGUAAAUGAGGGGCUCUCAUUUAGAGAGGCCAGGACUGAAGUGCAGCACUAGGUGCUGUGCCAUACCUGAGGACCAGCCUUUACCACGUUGUCAGGAAGCAAAGGGAGGUAGAGGGAAGGUUCUUGCAGACUUCCAGUUCUGGGGAACAGCUGCUGCCUCUGUAGAGCACUUGAUUAUCAGUCGUGCCCCACCAACAGCAGACACCUUUGUUCACAGGCUCCUCAAAACAGACACCAAAGCUAAACAUGCCAGAAGCAUCACCCUCUUGUAGUGCUAUGAAACAUCUGUGGCAUCAUUUAAAUCCAGCCCAGCAGCUCACUCCUCCAUUACAGCCUCUGCAUGAAUUACAAAUGUGAGGCAGCAGACACUCAGUACAAGAGCACAGUCUGGGCAAGAUCUGUUUACAGACCUUCUUAAAGAAAGUACCCAAUAUAUAAAGGUGUUUUCAUUCUCUUGGAGCUGGGGUCAGGAGACCUCAAAGGGACAACAUAUUUUGGAAGCAUUGAUUAUCCUUGAUAGGGUAGUCAGAGCAUGGGUAUCUCAGUCUGAGAUUCCCCGUCUGCCCAGUAUGUCUGGACAUUUAAUAUAGAUUAAUCUGUUAUUACAAAUCAUUCAACCAAGUUCUCCUUGACCUGCAGUCUGAGACAUCCUGGGACAAGAGAAGGAGCUAAAACAGGCCCUUUCUCAGUCUGUUUGAAGGUACAGCUGUUAAGAGGAUACAACUUAUCUUCAUUAUUAAAAGGAUGGUUAUUAGGAGUGAUGCCACAGGAAACCCUGGAGAAUCAAAAACAUUCCCCUUUGCAACAGACUGGCAGUAUGGGGAAACAUCACACUGAAGUCGCAGUUCCUUGUUAAGCACUUCUCCUCCUCCUCAGUGACGUGUCACACUGUCAUUCCAGAAUGUCACCUUGAUGGAGAGAACAACUUCUUGAGAGGAGUCAUCUGCUUGGAGCAACAAAAGCCACCUCCUUCAGAAAUACACCCACAGAAGUGUGCAAGGCCAGGACAAUAACGUCAUGUCAGGGCGUAAUUAAAACUCCUGAGCAGUUA
This is a long non-coding RNA of Passer domesticus (house sparrow), 2985 nucleotides long. RefSeq lists it as uncharacterized. The transcript is spliced from 2 exons. The record is from RefSeq and is a predicted model, not a curated record. NCBI's taxonomy places the organism in Eukaryota, Metazoa, Chordata, Aves, Passeriformes, Passeridae.